GACGAACGCUGGCGGCGUGCUUAACACAUGCAAGUCGAACGAAGAGCGAUGGAAGCUUGCUUCUAUCAAUCUUAGUGGCGCACGGGUGAGUAACGCGUAAUCAACCUGCCCUUCAGAGGGGUACAACAGUUGGAAACGACUUCUAAUACCGCAUACGAUCUAAUCUCGUCAUCGAGGAUAGAUGAAAGGUGGCCUCUACAUGUAAGCUAUCACUGAAGGAGGGGAUUGCGUCUGAUUAGCUAGUUGGAGGGGUAACGGCCCACCAAGGCGAUGAUCAGUAGCCGGUCUGAGAGGAUGAACGGCCACAUUGGGGCUGAGACACGGCCCAGACUCCUACGGGAGGCAGCAGUGGGGAAUCUUCCGCAAUGGACGAAAGUCUGACGGAGCAACGCCGCGUGAGUGAUGACGGCCUUCGGGUUGUAAAGCUCUGUUAAUCGGGACGAAAGGCCUUCUUGCGAAUAGUGAGAAGGAUUGACGGUACCGGAAUAGAAAGCCACGGCUAACUACGUG
This 510-nucleotide ribosomal RNA is filed under the name uncultured bacterium. Its description in RNAcentral is "partial 16S ribosomal RNA". It matches the Rfam family "Bacterial small subunit ribosomal RNA", at positions 28 to 507 of the family's 1533-position model. The record is from RNAcentral.